UGGCUCCUUGUCUCUCUGGCCAGUGUGCAGUCACCUUCCUCUGUUUUUGCCCAACUCUGCCAGCUGGAGUUUCCAAAGCAGAACUAUCUGACCCUUAAUGCCUUUGUCUCUCCCACAGGACUCCUGAGCUCUAAGAAAGUCAAAGGAUAUACCUAGGCACCUGUUUCCAGUGUACUUGAACAUUUUGCAACAGUUUAGAAGCUCUUAGAGUAUACUGUGACCAGCAGUUAGGAGGCUGAUUUGCUUGGAAGUGAGGAAAUAAAGCAAACACAAUAAGUACUCAUGCUCUCACUUGCAUUUUCAGGCAAAAAAGAAGGGAAUGACAGGCAAGUGUGUACCCCCUUCUUAUGUGAAGCUGUGGCCUGGGCUGUGGCCUGACCUGCGGCCCCUGGAAAUCAGACCUUCAGCUCAGAAGUGAGACCCAAGAGGAGCCAACGUCUGUGUUUUGCACAAGAUACAGAAUGGUUGUUUGUCCACAUUUUGGGGAAUGAGUGGGCGGGAGCAUCAAGGAACAGUUCAGUGCAUUGAAUCCUUGGGAGCAGCAGAAUGCAAGAAAGGGAUUUGAAGCAAAUAUCAGCAGCUGAGAACAGGGAGGUGGAAAUCGGAAACCUGAGAGAAUCCUUGAGACAAGAGUAUGCAUGAAGAGCAGGCUUCACAGGGAGACUUCAGAAGGGCUGUGCGCUAGAGGGGACCUCAGUGUGCCAAGCUGACUUGGAGUGGAAUGACAGCAAGACAAGCCCUUGAAAAAAUGUAGGGGUGGGAAGACAGUACCAGUAUGAGGAAGCACAGGGGAAAAAAAUGUGCAUGAUGAUUUAAACUGCAUUUGCACGGUGGCAGCGUCUGCCUGAGGGCAGAGGGGGCUGUAAUUGAAGUUCCAGAAGCAUGGAGACAUUUAGUGGAUGAUUAACUCAGGAGAUCCUUGUGUUUGUAGAUGGAGCAAGGCAACUGACCUGGAGUGGGGGACAGCGAGGGAUGCUUCUGGCUUCCCACUGCUCACUGGGAACCAGGUGGCAGCUCUUUGCUUUCUCCUUGUAGGGAGAUGCUGGGCUUUGUGUUUACCCCAAAGACAAACACAUUCCUCACAGUACUACCAAUGCCUUGACUCAAGGGUCACACGGAAUAUGUCCAGUUGGGGGAUGGAUGUGUCCCACUCCUCUUGGAAGUCCUCGGUUGUGUCCUGGAGCAGGGCUGCCUGCAGUUUCUUCUAGCUAAGGAGUAGUGGAUAACUGCAUGAACAGAUGAAUGAAUGGGUGAGAGUGUAUGGAGGCCACAGAAGUCACUGUGAGCCUUGGAGGACACUGUCAUUGUGACCAACCCCUGGCCUGCUUCUCAAAGGAACUACACGGGUCACCUGCCUUUGCCAGAAUGAAGAAACCCUCACUUCCGACUGGUACAAAUGAUCAACUUAAAGAACCCUAGGGUUGUCUGUUGUAGAAAUCAACUCUUUAAUCAUCAGCAGCUGCAUUUCUCCUGGGAUGCUCUGGUGGAAAUGGCUGCACAGCACACUCUCUUCUGGUCCACUGGUCUACAUGGGAGAGAUGGAGGUCAGGGCAUUGCCUCCUAUGGAUAGAGAUCCCCAGGGCUGACACGGGGGCAGUUCUACUGGGGUUGGAUAUGUGCUUCAUGAUGACUGCCGUGACAUAGCUACAAGAUAUCUACAGCCACCCUA
This 1669-nucleotide long non-coding RNA is filed under the name Homo sapiens (human). RNAcentral's name for it is "HSALNT0364880". Lineage: Eukaryota; Metazoa; Chordata; Mammalia; Primates; Hominidae. The record is from RNAcentral.